Molecule: transfer RNA, 74 nt
Filed under: Methanobacterium sp.
Lineage: Archaea; Methanobacteriati; Methanobacteriota; Methanobacteria; Methanobacteriales; Methanobacteriaceae
Description: tRNA-Thr
Rfam family: tRNA
About the family: Transfer RNA (tRNA) molecules are approximately 80 nucleotides in length. Their secondary structure includes four short double-helical elements and three loops (D, anti-codon, and T loops).
Source: RNAcentral
GCCAGUAUAACAUAGUUUGGAGAUGUGCAGGGUCUGUAACCCUGAAAACGAGGGUUCGAAUCCCUCUACUGGCU